This 468-nucleotide ribosomal RNA is filed under the name uncultured bacterium. Its description in RNAcentral is "partial 16S ribosomal RNA". It matches the Rfam family "Bacterial small subunit ribosomal RNA", at positions 28 to 507 of the family's 1533-position model. The record is from RNAcentral.
GACGAACGCUGGCGGCGUGCUUAACACAUGCAAGUCGAACGGCAAGGCCCUGCUUUUGUGGGGUGCCCGAGGGGCGAACGGGUGAGGAACACGAGAGUAACGUGCUCUUGAUUUUGGGAUAACUUCAGGUAACUGGGGCUAAUAUCGGAUAGGAGCCCCCGUAGCAGGGAGGGGGGUGGAAAGUCUGGGCGGGUGGGGAUGGACUCGCGGAUUAUCAGCUUGUUGGUGGGGUAGUGGCUUACCAAGGCGUGGACGGGUAGCCGGCCUGAGAGGGUGACCGGCCACCAUGGGCCUGCGGUACGGCCCAGACUCCUACGGGGGGCAGCGGUGGGGAAUCUUGCCCAAUGGGCGCACGCGUGAUGCAGCAGCGCCGCGUUCGGAAUGCCGGCCUUCGGGGUGAAAACCGCUUUAGCCUGUGACGACGCGGGAGUGACGGUACUGGGUGAAGAAGCACCGGCUAACUACGUG